Molecule: ribosomal RNA, 766 nt
Filed under: uncultured bacterium
Lineage: Bacteria
Description: bacterial SSU rRNA
Rfam family: Bacterial small subunit ribosomal RNA
Source: RNAcentral
AGAGUUUGAUCCUGGCUCAGAUUGAACGCUGGCGGCAUGCUUUACACAUGCAAGUCGAACGGCAGCGCGGGGCAACCUGGCGGCGAGUGGCGAACGGGUGAGUAAUAUAUCGGAACGUACCCAAGAGUGGGGGAUAACGUAGCGAAAGUUACGCUAAUACCGCAUACGAUCUAAGGAUGAAAGCAGGGGAUCUUCGGACCUUGUGCUCCUGGAGCGGCCGAUAUCUGAUUAGCUAGUUGGUGAGGUAAAGGCUCACCAAGGCCACGAUCAGUAGCUGGUCUGAGAGGAUGACCAGCCACAUUGGGACUGAGACACGGCCCAAACUCCUACGGGAGGCAGCAGUGGGGAAUCUUGCGCAAUGGGCGAAAACCUGACGCAGCCAUGCCGCGUGAAUGAUGAAGGUCUUAGGAUUGUAAAAUUCUUUCACCGGGGACGAUAAUGACGGUACCCGGAGAAGAAGCCCCGGCUAACUUCGUGCCAGCAGCCGCGGUAAUACGAAGGGGGCUAGCGUUGCUCGGAAUUACUGGGCGUAAAGGGCGCGUAGGCGGACAUUUAAGUCAGGGGUGAAAUCCCAGAGCUCAACUCUGGAACUGCCUUUGAUACUGGGUGUCUUGAGUGUGAGAGAGGUAUGUGGAACUCCGAGUGUAGAGGUGAAAUUCGUAGAUAUUCGGAAGAACACCAGUGGCGAAGGCGACAUACUGGCUCAUUACUGACGCUGAGGCGCGAAAGCGUGGGGAGCAAACAGGAUUAGAUACCCUGGUAGUCC